RNAcentral lists this long non-coding RNA (321 nucleotides) under Gossypium raimondii (Peruvian cotton). RNAcentral describes it as "long non-coding RNA (GRAI_LNC003763)". Lineage: Eukaryota; Viridiplantae; Streptophyta; Magnoliopsida; Malvales; Malvaceae. The record is from RNAcentral.
GAUACGAGUCACAAAAGCCCAAAUUCUUGAGGGCAAGGCCCAAUAAGAAGAUUCCAAGCCCAAUCAAGAAAUCCACCCAUACUUAGUUGAAAAUCAGGCCAAAUUGUCAAAGUGGCCCAAGUUGUAAAGUUUUAUUUUUAUUUAUUUAUUUAUUUUACUUAGUUUAAAUUUUUAUAUUCAGUCCAAGAGUCCCAAAUAAAAGACCCUUGGCCGAAUUUCCAUAUUAAAAUAAUUAGGAGUUUUUUUUAGUUUUAGUUUUAGUGUUCUAAUUAAAUUAGGAAAACAUUUGAAAGGCCUAUUUAUAUGGCUUGGCCAGCCACC